GGCUCUGCAGGAGGCCCUGAAGCAGGGGAGGUUGAAGGAAAGGGUGUGUCUUGUUGCAACUGCUGUGUUGUGAUGGUUUUGCCUAAACGUUUUAUGUUUUGAAAGACUAAAACUAAGCCCUGGGGCAAGGCCCUGAAAGUCGCAGGUGCAGCAGUCUCUCCUUCCUGGGCUGGGGAAACAGGCCAGCAGCAGCCUACACUGCCCAACAGCCAUCUCAGCCCCUGUGAGAGGAGACCUGUGAAUGUGCCACACCCAGUUCCGCUAUCACGGGCACAAAACAGCCCAGGGGAAGGAAAGGGAUGGUCUCCCCCACUGAACCCAAAGAGAUUUUACAGCCCAUGGCCGGGAGGACAGGGGCUUCCUCAGAGAGAGUAAGGUCACAAACCCUCCUCCAUCCAGUGCAACCAGAGGGGACCACAGUGAGCCCAGGGAAGAGUGAAACACUGUGUCCCCUAAGAGUCCUCCCCGUCCCCGAAGUCAAGAGUCCAGCCAAGUGGAGAGAGAGUAUGGGGAGAAAGCAAGGGGGACUGUGUCCAUAUCUAGCCCACACAGAAAGCCAAGAGCUAGCCCAGGGGGAAGAGGCAGACGGGAGUCCUGAUCAAGAAACAGAGGAUAUCUACUCCCAUUCCUUUCCUGUAGGGACUAGCGAUGGGAGAUCUUGGGAGAGGGCAUUGAGGAAAGACCAGCUUCACCCCCAGUCAGCCCAGUGAAAAGGGGACUUUGUGCACCAGAACAGUGGGAGAUUUGCUCACUCUCCCAUCCACCAAAAGGAGGGUUCAGUGAGUCCGGAGGAGAGAGGGGAGGUACCCACCCAAAGGAUGAUGCAAUCACCAAUUCCCUCUUCAUCCAGCCCCAAGGACUGAGACAACAGGAUGCUAACAUCCCUACCAGGACAAAGUUAAGCCACUUAACUCCUGAUUGAAUGAUCUCUCAUCCCCAGUAGCAAGCAACUGCAGCUGCUCUGGCUUCUUUGCUUCAGCUGAGAAAGUGGGAUACGAUCCAAGUCUACUGUCCAGGCUUCUCCAUGGAGCAGCUGGCAAGGGAUGCUCUGUGAGCACACCAACAACUUGCACCCUCCAACUCAGCACCCAGUUAAUUGCUUCUGCAACGUGGGUGGAUUUCCGCAACCCAGGGAGCAGAGA
This is a long non-coding RNA of Mauremys reevesii (Reeves's turtle), 1142 nucleotides long. RefSeq lists it as uncharacterized. The record is from RefSeq and is a predicted model, not a curated record. The transcript has 3 exons. NCBI's taxonomy places the organism in Eukaryota, Metazoa, Chordata, Testudines, Geoemydidae.